GUCUACGGCCAUGACACCCAGAACAGGUCCGAUCUUGUCUGAUCUCGAAAGCUAAACAGGGUCGUGCCUGGUUAGUAUUUGGAUGGGAGACCACCUAGGAAUACCAGGUGUUGUAGCUC
Molecule: ribosomal RNA, 119 nt
Organism: Pteropus vampyrus (large flying fox)
Lineage: Eukaryota; Metazoa; Chordata; Mammalia; Chiroptera; Pteropodidae
Source: Ensembl